Molecule: ribosomal RNA, 496 nt
Filed under: uncultured bacterium
Lineage: Bacteria
Description: partial 16S ribosomal RNA
Rfam family: Bacterial small subunit ribosomal RNA
Source: RNAcentral
GAUGAACGCUGGCGGCGUGCCUAAUACAUGCAAGUCGAGCGAACGGACGAGAAGCUUGCUUCUCUGAUGUUAGCGGCGGACGGGUGAGUAACACGUGGAUAACCUACCUAUAAGACUGGGAUAACUUCGUGAAACCGGAGCUAAUACCGGAUAAUCUUUUGAACCGCAUGGUUCAAAAGUGAAAGACGGUCUUGCUGUCACUUAUAGAUGGAUCCGCGCUGCAUUAGCUAGUUGGUAAGGUAACGGCUUACCAAGGCAACGAUGCAUAGCCGACCUGAGAGGGUGAUCGGCCACACUGGAACUGAGACACGGUCCAGACUCCUACGGGAGGCAGCAGUAGGGAAUCUUCCGCAAUGGGCGAAAGCCUGACGGAGCAACGCCGCGUGAGGGAUGAAGGUCUUCGGAUCGUAAAACUCUGUUAUUAGGGAAGAACAUAUGUGUAAGUAACUGUGCACAUCUUGACGGUACCGAAGCAGAAAGCCACGGCUAACUACGU